CUGUAGCCAAUUAAGCUGACACUCCCCCUCUCCCUAUGGGGGCGUGGUGUGCAGUGGGUGCAGACAGUAGCCUCCUCGGUAGCACACCAGCCUGUUGCUCCCAUGGGUUUCCCUAAAGGACCUUGGAGAAAGCC
This is a small nucleolar RNA of Choloepus hoffmanni (Hoffmann's two-fingered sloth), 134 nucleotides long. Its record names the gene SNORA70. It matches the Rfam family "Small nucleolar RNA SNORA70". Rfam says of the family: snoRNA U70 seems to be exclusive to mammals and is a member of the H/ACA class of snoRNA which contain H (ANANNA) and ACA box motifs. H/ACA box snoRNAs are involved in the conversion of uridines to pseudouridines (5-ribosyluracil) a constituent of structural RNAs (transfer, ribosomal, small nuclear, and small nucleolar). NCBI's taxonomy places the organism in Eukaryota, Metazoa, Chordata, Mammalia, Pilosa, Megalonychidae. The record is from Ensembl.